This is a long non-coding RNA of Triticum aestivum (bread wheat), 321 nucleotides long. RefSeq lists it as uncharacterized. The record is from RefSeq and is a predicted model, not a curated record. Lineage: Eukaryota; Viridiplantae; Streptophyta; Magnoliopsida; Poales; Poaceae. The transcript is spliced from 3 exons.
AAUGACGAUGCAGUUGAGCGACUUACCCACAGACGAGAGCUCGAGGAAAGCUGCAAAUUUGUGGAGGAGCGCCGGCAUUGAUGCUCUUUCAGGCUCUAGAUUGAUCGGGUGGUGUAUGUGGUAUGUUGUGCUCUCCGUGUUGACCGUUCACCACCCGUGGAGCAGCCGUCCGUCCGAGCCAGAUCGGGGACCCACCAGAACCACCAUCACGGCCAGUCGACGCCACCAGACCUUGUUUCCCUCUGCUCCUGCUACCUCUCCCUCCCCUUAUAUGCAAGAUUGUACGAUCUGCUUCGUUUCCUUGCUACAUUUUUCCCACGG